Molecule: non-coding RNA, 89 nt
Organism: Amborella trichopoda
Lineage: Eukaryota; Viridiplantae; Streptophyta; Magnoliopsida; Amborellales; Amborellaceae
Source: Rfam
AGUCGGCUGUGAGGACCAUCAUUCAGCAUAAUGCCAGUUCUGCUCCAGAAAAUUCUUGAUUGAUAAGCUGAUUAAUACCUGAGCCUUUU